UCACUGAAAAAUAAUGUUCCAAAUCUCCAUUCCAAUAAAAGCUCGAUAUUUUAGUUAUUUAUGUUUAUUUAAUAUCUAAUGUAAAGAAUCAGCCGCAAACUAUGCAGAAUCAGAGGGGUCGGUGAUAAUAAAAAUGCGAACGAAAUGAGAGAGCGCGAACGAGAGAGUCGGUCCCAAAAAAGAUGACACGUGCAGGUGGAUGAUCGAUUGAAGGAGAAAGUGAGGGUUGGAAUUACACUCUGAAAGCGGAAAUAAUAAACCAGAGUUAAUAUUUAUGGACCAAAUAGAAGAUAUUUCAUCAGAUUAUAUUCUUCAUAAAAAUGAAAAUUGCAUACAAAUUCGCAUUAACGACGGCGGUCGAGACGGUCGUAUCAUUUUAACUAAUUCGGAUGAAAUAGGUUUAAAGGAAUGGGCCUUUUCCCUCAGGUCUGCACAUAAGAUGUCUCAAGAUCUAUUAGGAUCCAUGGCUAAAAAGGCUGGAAAAAUUUAUGGAAGUGAACGAGAUGCCAACAAAUCUAUGCUUAUACUUGGAGGAAAUUGUUCAACCAAAACUUCUAAUGGCCCCAACUAAAUAUUCAUAUUAAAUCAAAAUUUAAUUUCAAAUAUCCAUUGUAAAAGUUAAAAAAAAAAUAAAAUAC
Long non-coding RNA from Drosophila bipectinata, 638 nucleotides. RefSeq lists it as uncharacterized. NCBI's taxonomy places the organism in Eukaryota, Metazoa, Arthropoda, Insecta, Diptera, Drosophilidae. The record is from RefSeq and is a predicted model, not a curated record.